This is a long non-coding RNA of Passer domesticus (house sparrow), 1250 nucleotides long. RefSeq lists it as uncharacterized. The transcript is spliced from 3 exons. Lineage: Eukaryota; Metazoa; Chordata; Aves; Passeriformes; Passeridae. The record is from RefSeq and is a predicted model, not a curated record.
GAGCGUGACGCCACUGCCGUGACGUCUGGAACGUUCCUGCCCGGGGAAAACAGCGCUGGCUGCAGCCCAGGGAUCUUUAAUAGAGACAGAACAUGGAUGUGGGGAUGCUUGUGUGUAAUUAUACACAACGUAUAGGGCCAUUUCGCAUAUGGGAGCACUUGGAGCCCUUUGAUCCUUCUCACCCAUAAAACCGGGCCGGAGGGGCCUGGCGUGGGGGAGUGGGGUCACAGAGGGGCUCUCUGUCGUUCCAGCGAAGGCCAGGGCUGUGCCUGUAUUUUCUCAUUUCCCAUCAGUGUUCAGGAAAGAGAUCUGCCAGCACAGCUGGAAGGAAGCAGGAGAGCACUGCUGGUGUCCUCUGGAGCCCAGCUUGGAGGCCUUUGUAGGCAAAGCAGAGGGCUGCUCUGUAUAAUAGAUUCUUGAUAGAAGAGCUUGCAUUUGUGAGGUGUGUCAUGCAACGGGGGAGAGACCAAAGCAAAGGCACUGAGGAAAGCCUGCCAACAGUGUGAUAUAAACAAUCAAGUGGAUGUGUUGCUGAAGACAAGGGGGUUUAAUUGCAUGACUUGUCUGUCCUCCUUGCUCACUAGCUAAACCUAAACCUGAGUGUCUGGAUAAUACAGAUCUGGGCUUAUCCCACAAACUGCUCCAGACCUCAUGGCAGCCUUGCUAUGCCCCUGCCGUCCCUGCAGCUGGACACUAGGGACCUUCAGGGACAGCACAACAUCAAAAAUCCUUGUGCUCAGAGGCUUUCCUCCAUCUUACAGGCUGCUGGCAAGUAUUUGCUUGCCAAGGAAGAUCCAGCAAAGGAAUGCUGGUGACAGGCUAUUUGAGCCACAAAACUGGCCAACAGACACAGCUGGGAAACACACUGCAGCACAAAGAAAAAAUAAUAAAGGCUGGGAGAAGUUCUUUUCCCCUCUACAGAACUGUAAUUGGGUCUUCUCUUUUUUUUUUUUUUUUCAGCUCAGUUGGGGUAUGAACUCCUUAAUCUUAGUUUGACUUAUGGGAAAGGGAGGGCAUUAGCAUAUUUAUAAAAAUUUACCUUGUUCUGAAACUGUAGACAUGCUUCACCUUAUAAUUUCAUGAUUAGUGUCAUUUCAUCAUAGGGGAAAAGCCACUUUUUCUAUCCAGCGGCACAAAACGAAUACAAAUCAAACACAUGCUUUCUGGAAUUAUUCACACAAUGUUUUCAAAAAUCGACAUAGUUCAAUAGUUGAGCAAUAAAUUUUCUUACUAAUGAGACACUAAAAAAU